AUUGAACGCUGGCGGCAGGCUUAACACAUGCAAGUCGAACGAGUGGCGGACGGGUGAGUAAUGUCUGGGAAACUGCCUGAUGGAGGGGGAUAACUACUGGAACCGGUAGCUAAUACCGCAUACCAUCGGAUGUGCCCAGAUGGGAUUAGCUAGUGGGUGGGGUAAAGGCUCACCUAGGCGACGAUCCCUAGCUGGUCUGAGAGGAUGACCAGCCACACUGGAACGGAGACACGGUCCGUACUCCUACGGGAGGCAGCAGUGGGGAAUAUUGCACAAUGGGCGCAAGCCUGAUACAGCCAUGCCGCGUGUAUGAAGAAGGCCUUCGGGUGGUAAAGUACUUUGAGCGAGGAGGCGUUACCCGCAGAAGAAGCACCGGCUAACUCCGUGCCAGCAGCCGCGGGAAUAC
Molecule: ribosomal RNA, 406 nt
Filed under: uncultured bacterium
Lineage: Bacteria
Description: partial 16S ribosomal RNA
Rfam family: Bacterial small subunit ribosomal RNA
Source: RNAcentral